UACAGAGGUCCCAAGCGUUGUUCGGAUUCAUUGGGCGUAAAGGGUGCGUAGGUGGCAUGGUUAGUCGGGUGUGAAAUCCCGGGGCUCAACCCCGGAACUGCACUCGAUACUGCCGUGCUGGAGUACUGGAGAGGAGACUGGAAUUUACGGUGUAGCAGUGAAAUGCGUAGAUAUCGUAAGGAAGACCGGUGGCGAAAGCUAGUCUCUGGACAGUCACUGACACUGAGGCACGAAGGCUAGGGGAGCAAACGGG
This 253-nucleotide ribosomal RNA is filed under the name uncultured bacterium. RNAcentral describes it as "partial 16S ribosomal RNA". It matches the Rfam family "Bacterial small subunit ribosomal RNA", at positions 524 to 776 of the family's 1533-position model. The record is from RNAcentral. RNAcentral also lists the same sequence under 1 other name.